This is a long non-coding RNA of Quercus robur (English oak), 723 nucleotides long. RefSeq lists it as uncharacterized. The record is from RefSeq and is a predicted model, not a curated record. The transcript has 3 exons. Lineage: Eukaryota; Viridiplantae; Streptophyta; Magnoliopsida; Fagales; Fagaceae.
AAAAAAAAAAAUGCCAAUAUUGCGAUACAGAGAAAGGGAAAAAGGGAAAAAUCCUACCCUCCUCACAUCAGUCUUCUUAACUUUUUUCUCUCUAAAAAAAACCCUAGCCGUACUACGAUAGAGGCGAUCUCUUCACAUCAAACUCCGCUAGGAGGAAAAAAAAAAAAAUUACUUGCGCCACACUGGAGAUUCGAUUGAUCAUCGCUAUCCCCUUUUGAGUUUUCCAGAUUUACGCGGUUCUCUACCAGAUACGAUGGUUUAGUAUUUUGCAAGAAGAGAUACCGAAUCAUAUUGAAAGGUUUAGUGUUAGUGUACAUAGCCAAUCAAAAAAUAGAAAUAGGAGAAACAUCUGUUCAAAGACCUGAAAGAAUGCCGCUCCAAAUGCUUCAAAAACGUCAAAAAAGUACUAAGCAAAUUGCUACAAAGAAGAAAAAAAAAUGAACUCUAUUGUAUAUACUACCUUACUCUACAAGUCUUUAUGUAUUUCAUAGUAUUGUUAAUUAUUAUAUUUUUUCCUUUAGAAGAGUAAACUCAAUGUACUGAAUAAAGCUGACAGAUUAGAACAGCAUUACUAUAAAAUGUAAUUAUAUUUCACAAUUUGGUAUAUUAGACACUGUGAUGGUCCCAAAAUGGUUGAUUUCAAAGUGUAUAAGCUGAAUGAAGAAUGUAGACAACAGGAUUUGCUUUAUUAAAAUAAAUAGAUUUUCCCCUAUUGUUCUGUUA